GAAGGGAAGGGAAGGGAAGGGAAGGGAAGGGAAGGAGGAUAUUAUCAUAUUAUGGGGGGCCACGUGGCAGGAGGUGAGGGAGUCAAUUAAGCAAGAGGAAGGGUAGUUGGGUAAAUAUCCCAACAUAGUAUUAAGAUAGGAAAAAGGGUAGCACUUUUUGUGAAAGUGGGGUUGAAUCUCACAGGUCCUUUCUUUGUCCAUUCAAGUGGGCUUUUGAUUACGUACACAAAGCCAUUUUCACAGCCUUAUCUGUCCACAUAGUAUAUUGCUUCAUAGCAUCUCUCCUUCCUUCAUCAUAUCCUUCUAUACUCUCCUCCUCCUCCACUAUGCAUUAUUAUUACUCAACUUCCUAAACACUGCCAUCUGCCAUUUUUCUUGUUGCUUCCAACUUCUUUGGGAUUUGCCCAUUUGUAAGAAAUCAAUUGGGGAUGAGAAGACGAAAGCUGAUAGAUGCAUGCUCUCUUCAUUUUCCAUCUUUAUAUUAAUCAAUUGAUAAUGAUAGACAACCCUAAUUCAACUAUUAUAUACGUGAGAUCUGCAUAUCAUUAAUAGUCAGAAAUGAUUCAUAAUCUUAGAAAAUUUUCAUAACGUCAUAUCGAGAAAAGGAUAUAUAAUUUACACACUAAGUUAUAUAAACCCACAAAUAACCUUAGGAGUAUCAUCCAAUUC
RNAcentral lists this long non-coding RNA (669 nucleotides) under Prunus persica (peach). Its description in RNAcentral is "long non-coding RNA (PPER_LNC003798)". The record is from RNAcentral. Lineage: Eukaryota; Viridiplantae; Streptophyta; Magnoliopsida; Rosales; Rosaceae.